RNAcentral lists this long non-coding RNA (456 nucleotides) under Glycine max (soybean). RNAcentral describes it as "long non-coding RNA (GMAX_LNC000942)". The record is from RNAcentral. Lineage: Eukaryota; Viridiplantae; Streptophyta; Magnoliopsida; Fabales; Fabaceae.
ACAAAAUCAUGCUCAAAACCCCAAAUCAUUCUCAAUUAAUUCUCCAAAAACACAACAAAAAAUUCAAUUUCCCAGAAUCAAAACUCAGAAUCAUUUAAUCCGAAGCAACCCGGCAAAAAACAGAAUCAAUACUUAAUCAAAUCGAGUUUUGAAACAUUGCCUUCGCAUGCGCAUCAUCCUCGACGGCACCGGCAGAAGCUUUCGAGUUGAAGUGAAGAGGCAUGCGGGAAUGGUAAGCAAUAACCGCGAAAGGGGAGCAAACCUUUUCGAUGGGGAGAGUGAAACAUGCUGUCAUGACCGCCACGAGGAGGAGAACGAUGAUCUUGAUGAACUCUAGGAGGAUUACAGACUACAGAGUAAUAAAAAAAGACUAGUUGAGAAGAUCACCAUUGGAGAUGCUACCGGAUACAUUACAGGAUUAGUUUAAUACAUUGUUUUUAACACGGAGAAGAAGCU